RNAcentral lists this ribosomal RNA (253 nucleotides) under uncultured bacterium. Its description in RNAcentral is "partial 16S ribosomal RNA". It matches the Rfam family "Bacterial small subunit ribosomal RNA", at positions 524 to 776 of the family's 1533-position model. The record is from RNAcentral.
UACAGAGGGUGCAAGCGUUAAUCGGAGUUAUUGGGCGUAAAGGGCGCGUAGGCGGUUUAGUAAGUGAGAAGUGAAAUCCCCGGGCUUAACCUGGGAAUGGCUUUUUAGACUACGAGACUGGAGUGCAGUAGAGGGUGGUGGAAUUUCCGGUGUAGCGGUGAAAUGCGUAGAGAUCGGAAGGAACAUCAGUGGCGAAGGCGACCACCUGGACUGAGACUGACGCUGAGGCGCGAGAGCGUGGGGAGCAAACAGG